CAUAACUAUGCGCAAUACGUGGUAAUGCGUCGAUAAACGCCUGAGCCGACACGAGCUGGAAACGCACAAGACGUUUCUCCUCUCCUGACAUCAACAGCGAGCUGUGUAGCUCGACAGGCACCCUACCGGACAACCUGCAGCACUGGGACCCCUGGCCUGCGCAGCUCGGAAACCUGCGCUGCAGCGUCAGACUGCCAACCAGAGCACACUCCCCGACCGCAAGUUUCAACACAGUCAGCUACAGAGAGGCCACGGAGGACGGGAACAUAGUUUCUCUGAAUAGGUGGAAGGAGACAAGGACGCAAAUUCUGAUCCUCGCAUCCAUCAGCAAGGGGAACGAGUGUCACCAGAGCUGCAAGGAUGGCUACUCUUCUGUUGGUGGACCUUGAAUGUGUUUACUGUGCAAAAAAAUAUUUUCUGCCUUUUAGAAAGCAUUUGUUCCAACAUAGUUAUUUUUGCUUUUGUGAGAUCUUACUAGUUUUUGGGGCUUUUCAAAAAUGAGACCCAAAAGAAUAAAAAAGACUAUCAAUAAUAAAAUACACUUAUUUUUCCAGCUCAGUGACAAUCGCUAUAAAAUAUCACUAUAACACAUGGAAUAUAAUAGGAGUGCGUGCACAUCCAUGUCACCGUUGUCUUUAUGACAAUCAUACUUCUACAUCUCUGAGGUGAGUGCCGUUAAAAACUUGAUAAAUAUGUCCCAGCUGGUAGCUCAGUUUUUGUGCGAAAUGCUAAAACUGUGUCGAUUUUACAGACAUGGAUUCAACAGCUCUCAGUUAACCUAUUCAUGUAUUGUACCACAUGACAUACAGUCGAAUUAACCAGAAAUCAGACGUAUUGAUGAACAAGAAGCUUGUAAAUUACCACCAGUACAGUUCAUUAUGAAGCUGAUCACCUUCAGGUAUUUAUGAUGCACUUCCUGGCUCUCAUACAAAAAGGCCUGUUUUCUGGUCCCCUCACCACAUUCACAGCAGUGCAACCAGACUUCCGCCUUAUAUUGAAACGUGUUAGUAACAUAAAAGUUUAUAGUUUGAGAUAUAAGAAGAUAUGGGUCAGGAGAAACAGAUUAAAGGUUCACCCAAACCACUUUCUCUGCCUAUCUGAUCUUUUGGCCACAAUGUCCUACAAGCUUGAUUCAAAGGAAUGAAUUUGAAUCUUCUGCUGAAUUUAAGUUCAGCAGAAGGCUGACUCACCAAUUGCACAAAGGUGCACAAAAGUGUGCUGAAACAAAAAACGUCUAAAACGUGCAGGGCAAAAACACUAAAAGGAGCCAAAUAAGAUAAAUAAAGAAAAACAUUUAGCUCUGAGACACCCUUCACAACAAACACGGGAGCUUUUAACUAAUAGAGCAUUUGAAAAAAAUAAAAUAAAAUGAUGCUGUUGGUAUUGGUGUCCUUCAGUGUUCACAGUGAUAGCAACAGCUUAUAAUGUGUCUAUUAAAAAAUACACUGAACCAUUAAAGAAAUAAUGAUGACAAAAAAAACAUCAGACUCAAAAUAAUUUGCAUUUGAGUUUUUUGACAGUCUUUUAGUUAUUCAUAGGAAUUAAGUUACACUACUGGCUAAAUAUGAUUUUACAGUAGCUUAAUAAAUAUGCCCAUUAUUAUUAUAUAUUAAAUUAUACAAAAGAUUAAAACAUGUUGGUUUUUAUUUCCUACAAGAGGAAGCACUUGUCUUGUCUCCUACUCCAAGGCUUCUAUUGAAAAUAUACUGUAAGAGCUUAUAAUCUUUGACACCACCAUCAGGCUCGUAAUACAAAAUAAUGAACCAGAAAACUGAAAUUAAUUUAUGGGCUUUAGUUUGGAUUUAGUUUUUCACCAUAUAUUAUGUGUGUGCAUUCUUGUGAUUGUGUGUUUCUGUUUAUAACCUUUGUCCAAAUCUCUACAUAACUAUAAAUCCCUUCUUAAACACAAAAGUCUUUUUUUUUCAUCUUGUCUUCUUCUUUGAAUAAGACAAAGAAUCCUAAUCCUUCUCUGAAUUUCUUCACAAAUGUAAACCCUCACGUGUUUACUGUGUUCCAUUGUCUUCACAGUUCUCCUUAUUCCACAAUUAUCUCUAAAAAUAUGACAUACAUGGGACAGAUUUGUAAAUUGCUUGUCUUGUAAUUGGUAAUUGAUCCAACUGUAUUCUAUUUUCAGGGUAAAAGAGUUAAAGGGGCAUCAUACAAACGUACAUAUGUACAGACUGUAUACACAUGACUGUAAAAGAGAUCACAUUACUGACUUAACAAUGUUUAAAACCAUUUGUUCUCUUUUCACUUUACAUUGUGCGCUGUGUUGUGUUUGAAAUUUAUAACAUUUCAAACAUUUUCAGUUGUAUUAUGAAUUUGCCAAGGAUCUGCAAAUGAAGUGUAAUAAAUGGAACAACCAUACGG
This is a long non-coding RNA of Poeciliopsis prolifica (blackstripe livebearer), 2370 nucleotides long. RefSeq lists it as uncharacterized. The transcript has 3 exons. The record is from RefSeq and is a predicted model, not a curated record. NCBI's taxonomy places the organism in Eukaryota, Metazoa, Chordata, Actinopteri, Cyprinodontiformes, Poeciliidae.